UGUAAGCGUAUACCAAAGUUGUUGCAGUUAAAACGCUCGUAGUCGGAAUUUGGCAGUUCCGGAUGUGUGCACGUCGUGUGCGCACUUCGCGGGGAUUGCUUUUGUGGUCUUGCGUAGGAUGAGGCACUUUUAUUAGUGAACGUCCUCACGCAACCACUUUUUACUGUGAGAAAAUCAGAGUGCUCAAAGCAGGCAUUUGCCGUGAAUGAAUUAGCAUGGAAUAAUAGAAUAGGACUUGGUUCUAUUUUGUUGGUUUGUUGGGACUGAGUAAUGAUUAAGAGGGACAGUUGGGGGCAUUUGUAUUUCGGUGCUAGAGGUGAAAUUCUUAGAUUACCGAAAGACAAACUGCUGCGAAAGCGUCUGCCAAGGAUGUUUUCAUUGA
This 382-nucleotide ribosomal RNA is filed under the name uncultured eukaryote. Its description in RNAcentral is "partial 18S ribosomal RNA". It matches the Rfam family "Eukaryotic small subunit ribosomal RNA", at positions 592 to 976 of the family's 1831-position model. The record is from RNAcentral.